RNAcentral lists this ribosomal RNA (120 nucleotides) under uncultured bacterium. RNAcentral's name for it is "partial 16S ribosomal RNA". It matches the Rfam family "Bacterial small subunit ribosomal RNA", at positions 30 to 147 of the family's 1533-position model. The record is from RNAcentral.
AUUGAACGCUGGCGGCAUGCCUUACACAUGCAAGUCGAGCGGCAGCGCGGGGGCAACCCUGGCGGCGAGCGGCGAACGGGUGAGUAAUACAUCGGAACGUGUCCAGUAGCGGGGGAUAAC